This 303-nucleotide ribosomal RNA is filed under the name uncultured bacterium. Its description in RNAcentral is "partial 16S ribosomal RNA". It matches the Rfam family "Bacterial small subunit ribosomal RNA", at positions 507 to 809 of the family's 1533-position model. The record is from RNAcentral.
AGCAGUCGCCGCGGGAAAACGAAGGGGGCUAGCGUUGUUCGGAAUUACUGGGCGUAAAGCGCACGUAGGCGGACAUUUAAGUCAGGGGUGAAAUCCCAGGGCUCAACCCUGGAACUGCCUUUGAUACUGUCGAUCUGGAGUAUGGAAGAGGUGAGUGGAAUUCCGAGUGUAGAGGUGAAAUUCGUAGAUAUUCGGAGGAACACCAGUGGCGAAGGCGGCUCACUGGUCCAUUACUGACGCUGAGGUGCGAAAGCGUGGGGAGCAAACAGGAUUAGAUACCCCGGUAGUCCCUGUCUCUUAUAA